RNAcentral lists this transfer RNA (68 nucleotides) under Harpovoluta charcoti. RNAcentral's name for it is "tRNA-Ile". Lineage: Eukaryota; Metazoa; Mollusca; Gastropoda; Neogastropoda; Volutidae. The record is from RNAcentral.
AGUGUUACGCCGGAUGAACGGAAGUCAUUGAUGUUGAUUAAUAUGAGAUUAUAUUAUCUCCGGCACUA